CAUAUAGGUUUGGUCCUGGCCUUUCUAUUAGUUAUUAGUGAACUUACACAUGCAAGAAUCCCCAUUCCUGUGAAAAUGCCCUCUAAGCCAUCCACUGACGUAAAGGAGCUGGUAUCAAGCACACUAAAAGUAGCUCAUAACACCUUGCUUAGCCACACCCCCACGGGAAACAGCAGUGACAAAAAUUAAGCAAUGGACGAAAGUCCGACUAAGUUACACUAUAGAGGACUGGUAAAUUUCGUGCCAGCCACCGCGGUCAUACGAUUAGGCCAAACUAAUAGACGUUCGGCGUAAAGGGUGUUUUAGAAUUUAAAUAAAGCAAUAAAGUCAAACUCUGAUUAUGCUGUAAAAAGCUCCAAUCAAUGUAAGACAAAUAACGAAAGUGACUUUAAAAAAUCUGAUUACACGAUAGCUAGGGUCCAAACUGGGAUUAGAUACCCCACUAUGCCUAGCCCUAAACAUAAAAAAUUAUAAACAAAAUUAUUCGCCAGAGUACUACUAGCAAAAGCUAAAAACUCAAAGGACUUGGCGGUGCCUUAUACCCCUCUAGAGGAGCCUGUUCUAUAAUCGAUAAACCCCGAUAUACCUCACCAGCCUUUGCUAAGUCAGCCUAUAUACCGCCAUCUUCAGCAAACUCUAAAAGAUGCAUAGUAAGCAUAAUAUUAACAUAAAACGUUAGGUCAAGG
This 686-nucleotide ribosomal RNA is filed under the name Ia io (Great evening bat). RNAcentral's name for it is "partial 12S ribosomal RNA". It matches the Rfam family "Bacterial small subunit ribosomal RNA", at positions 9 to 1195 of the family's 1533-position model. Lineage: Eukaryota; Metazoa; Chordata; Mammalia; Chiroptera; Vespertilionidae. The record is from RNAcentral.